CUUUACAGCAGAAAUACAUGUAUUACUUAAUUUUAACCAUUUUAUCAUUUUAUACUACCAUUUCCCUAAUUUGCCAAAAGGUUUCCUGCACUCACACUUAUUACAGAAAGGUUUGAUUGUAAAGUAAUAAAAAAGCUCACAAGCUGAUGAUGCAAUCAAGGAUACAAUAUUAUUUAAGCGGUACAAGCACAGAAGAACAAGUAGUUUCUCAUUAAGUGAUGAAAGACGAGAUAAACAAAAAACAUAAGCGAUUUUGGCUUUAGCAUUCAUAUAAACUAAAAGCAAGCUGCAAUGUUAUAUGUACUCAAACAAGUUGUGAAUUAGUCAACAUGAAAUAACCCAAAUUCCCCACAUCUUGCUCCUUUUCCAGUUCUGGCAAGCUCGUCAAAUAAGGUUGACUAGUUUUCAACGAAAAAAACCAAUACAAAGUCAUCUCUAAACGGAAACAGUUGAGGGGAAAAAAAAAA
RNAcentral lists this unclassified non-coding RNA (467 nucleotides) under Hevea brasiliensis (rubber tree). The record is from RNAcentral. Lineage: Eukaryota; Viridiplantae; Streptophyta; Magnoliopsida; Malpighiales; Euphorbiaceae.